GUGCUCACUCCAGCAGCCCAUAUACUAAAAUUGGAAUGAUACAGAGAAAAUUAGCAUGGCCCCUGUGCAAGGAUGACACCCAAAUUCAUGAAGCAUUCGAUGUUUUU
Molecule: small nuclear RNA, 107 nt
Organism: Loxodonta africana (African savanna elephant)
Lineage: Eukaryota; Metazoa; Chordata; Mammalia; Proboscidea; Elephantidae
Source: Ensembl